This 206-nucleotide unclassified non-coding RNA is filed under the name Hevea brasiliensis (rubber tree). The record is from RNAcentral. Lineage: Eukaryota; Viridiplantae; Streptophyta; Magnoliopsida; Malpighiales; Euphorbiaceae.
GCCUUUCCCGUGCUCUUAGCCAGCCUCUUAGCCACGUAGGCCGUGUCGUUCGCCGCAUUUUUCGCUGUAUUCACGAUCGCUGACUCCGAUACAGUGCGCGUCACUCUAGCAACGAUCCCUUCGUCGCCGCUGCUGUUACCGAUACCAAGUCGUUUCUUUCCCAGAGACGCCAUUUAAAGGGUUUUGGUUCAGUCUAUGAGGACUUU